UGGGGAAUAUUGCACAAUGGGCGCAAGCCUGAUGCAGCCAUGCCGCGUGUGUGAAGAAGGCCUUCGGGUUGUAAAGCACUUUCAGCGAGGAGGAAGGUGGUGAAGCUUAAUACGUCAUCAAUUGACGUUACUCGCAGAAGAAGCACCGGCUAACUCCGUGCCAGCAGCCGCGGUAAUACGGAGGGUGCAAGCGUUAAUCGGAAUUACUGGGCGUAAAGCGCACGCAGGCGGUUUGUUAAGUCAGAUGUGAAAUCCCCGGGCUCAACCUGGGAACUGCAUUUGAAACUGGCAAGCUAGAGUCUCGUAGAGGGGGGUAGGAAUUCCAGGUGUAGCGGUGAAAUGCGUAGAGAUCUGGAGGAAUACCGGUGGCGAAGGCGGCCCCCUGGACGAAGACUGACGCUCAGGUGCGAAAGCGUGGGGCAGCAAACAGGAUUAGAUACCCUGGU
RNAcentral lists this ribosomal RNA (446 nucleotides) under uncultured bacterium. Its description in RNAcentral is "partial 16S ribosomal RNA". It matches the Rfam family "Bacterial small subunit ribosomal RNA", at positions 355 to 791 of the family's 1533-position model. The record is from RNAcentral.